ACGUACGUGCUCAGUUGACGUGGUUUAAUAUACUACUUGAAGUAACAUCACAAAGAAUUAUGAGGUCUUGGUUCGCAGAGAUUGAUACCCACUUUCACUGUACUAAUGCCUGGUGAACUUAGAAUUACUGCUACUAAUCUGAAUGUAAUGGAUUUUUAUUAUAAUCUCAUUUGGAAGACCUCUGCUCCAGCCAUAGUGAAGUUUUUCCACUUGCUACAUUUUUCAAUUUUUUUUUUUUUCAACUUAUGAAUGAUUAAAGGUCCUUUUUUAAUCAGAUUUUAUUGGUAACUUCGACACAUAUAUAUUUAUAGCUCUCCCACAGACCCGCUAGACUUGGUUAGCUGAGAGGGAGUCCUUUGUUGCAAGAAAUAUGUGGACUUGGUGAAUAGAGAAUGAACAUCACAGCUACGCACCCCAAAUCCUGG
This 425-nucleotide long non-coding RNA is filed under the name Aquilegia coerulea. RNAcentral describes it as "long non-coding RNA (ACOE_LNC000833)". Lineage: Eukaryota; Viridiplantae; Streptophyta; Magnoliopsida; Ranunculales; Ranunculaceae. The record is from RNAcentral.